Cervus hanglu yarkandensis (Yarkand deer) is the source of this 1723-nucleotide long non-coding RNA. Lineage: Eukaryota; Metazoa; Chordata; Mammalia; Artiodactyla; Cervidae. The record is from Ensembl.
CAGAGGUGCUUUUGGAAAUGUAUACGCUUAUGAAAUCGGUUUUCUAGUUCUGCAGAUUCUGAAGAACGACUUCCUUUGCUCAUUUAUAAUUCUCCUUGGAGGUUUCCCAGGUGUCAGCCUUUGGCUGGUUUCUUUUCACCAGAAACUAGGGCUAUGGUUUAGCCUUAACCCGCAAGGAAAAGCCCGGCUUUGUUUCCGGGGAGCCAGGUCCCUUUGAUAGGCUCUUCUUGUUCUGCAGGCGGGCAAAGAGGCUUAUCACACAUCAGAUUGUUUUUCCUUUGAGGUAACCUCAAACCAAAGCGCACUGUUCCCUGAAGAACACAGAGAGUAAGAACACGGUGCGGUGCCUGGGGUGGCUCAGAGGGCCGGGAAGUCAGGAAGCUCGUCUGGAUUUUGCUGACCUGGCCCCAGAAGGGGCUCAAUCGGCAGGCGUCGGGUGAGGCAUGUGGUCUGGCCACAGCAGCGGACUCUGAGGAAGACAUGGAGACCCCGUGGGCUGAGGGAGACUUGGAGAGCUCCAAAGCGCAGUCUGGAGGGGAGCCUGAGACGCUGCGUGUGUAACACGCCCCCAGGGGAGGCUGCUCCUUGUGGCCGGAGGCCCACGCCGUGAGGGGCAGAACCCUAGGAGAGGACCCCGAAGAAGUUCGGCAGGUGCAGACGUGGGACAGGGUGUUCCUGAGAGCCAGGACCCUCCAGGUGGGCCACUGGGGACUUGGGGGAGGUUGAAUCGUCAGAGAGGCUGAGGCUUCAUUGGAGGGCCUUGAAGUGGCCCUAGGCUUACCUUUUAAUUCUAUUAGGUUUUAGUUCAUUCUGUAAGACUCGGUGUCACAGCCAAUAUUCUGAGAAAUGCAUUGCUGACCCUCCCCUGACAUGGAUCCUUCUGCUUAAGGGUCUUCUUCAUAGAGAUCCUUCCCUACCGUGGAGGUGCGAAGGCUCUCGGAGCAAGCCUGGUGGUGGAUGGCCAGGCCCCGUGGCUGAACUCCUCCAGUCCUGGGCUCCAGCUAGGACUUCUCAGCUCCAUGUCCUGUGUCUGGGACACGGGGCAGCUAGAGCUCAUUGUAUCUUGCAUUUGAAGGAAGGAAUGACCAUUAACACCUCAGCUGUGGCCCAGCAGGACAACAGCAGAGCAGGCACUGCAGUUAGAAUCAGAGGCGCUGGAGGAGCCUGCGGUCAGCUGUCCCCCCGAUGAGCCUCAGCUCAGGCCUCAGCAGGACUUCUACCUCGAGCCGCAGCAGAAGCUGAAGUAAGCCGGGCCCCUCGCCUCGCCCCUUCCCGCAGCCGGGACCCCCAGCCUCCCUGCCUGUCACACAGAACGGCCAGGGCUUGCUCCCUCUUCUGCUCUUCGCUUGUCUGCCUUAGCUGCGCACAUCGUCUGAGGGGCCCAGAUUCGCUUCCCUUCCAACACGGCCGUUCUCGUGAGGGGCCAUGGAGGUAUACAUCCUGGAGUCAGAACUGCCUCCGGGCAGGAUGGGGUUAAAGCCAACUGGAGCACUCCUGAAAAUCUUAUCUUGGGAUGGGCUUGUCUCUUAUCUGUGGGCCUGAGGCAGUCACUUCACCUGUCUGAGCCUUCUUUACCUGCUUGCCUGCUAAGUCGCUUCAGCCAUGUUUGACUCUGCGACCCUAAAGAUGUAGCCUGCCAGGCUCCUCUGUCCAGUGAAAUUCUCCAGAAAAGAAUACCGGAGUGGGUUGCCAUGCCCUUCUCCGGGGAUCUUCCUGACCCGGG